GCUUUCGACGCGGGAGGACGACGAGGGAAGUUGGGCCCACGAGGAGAGACUGCCCUGCCUCCCCGUCCAUCUUCUAUCUCCUGAGACACCCCAGUGCGGAGCUCUGAGCGAGUCCCAAGCCCUCAGGAGCAGGAGGCCCUGCAGUUCUAAUCCCAUCCUGGCUCCACCUCCCACCUUCCGCGUUCACUGGGUCAAGACCUAAACCUCUUGGCGUCUGUUUCUUCGCUGUGACGUUAAUUCAGCCAACAGCCAACGUUUACUGAUUUCUUGCCACUCAGAAUACCCACUCUGACCGUGAAGUUGCACUUUCUGCUUUGCUUAGAAGAUCACUUCCGGCCACCUGGUUUUUGAGCCUCUCUAGAUCUCUAGUGCACUGGCCUCUUUAUUUUCCCCCGUCUGACAGCCCAACCCAGUCUCCACUUCCCUCUGUGAUGUGCCCAAACUCUUGGCAAGUCAUCAGCAGCUCCGCCUGCCUGCGUCCCCGAAGCCUGCUCCCCACCCCACCAACCGAAUGCUGCUGGAGAAGCCCCUAAUAGUUACCCUGGCGUUGGGAAGAGCCAGCCGCUGCCUCGCCAACCCCGCUGGUGAACCCGCUGAUGCCCAGGCCACCCGCCUGCGUCUUGAUCGCCGACUUGAGCUCAUGAUUCUCCUGAAUAAGCCGCACCAGCUUCUUCAGUUCCUCGUUUUCCCGCACCAGCCUCUCGAUCUGAUGCCGAAGCCCCUCAUAAUUGAGCUAUCUACAGAGAGAACUUUUUGGACCUGACCUUGGGAGUCAAGGGAGGCUGUGUCCUUGUGACCUCCACUGGUUCUGCAGGCAUCCGCUCUCAAACAGGAGAUAUAAGUCAGAGGGCACACCUGGGUCAGAGGACAUCUAAGGCUAAGGGCUGAGGUCAGUGCCUGCGCGUGGCGCUCCAUACUGGUCGUGAUGACUUCUGAGACUGAAGUCUUCAUCUGCCUUCAUCUACGGGGCUCACGGGGAGCUGCCUUAAAGAGGUGCAGGGGCCCUACAGUCUCAAGACCCACGGACACACACUAGGUUGUCCUGAGGAGGUCACCAAGCCAAGUGCCACUUCUACAAACUGGCUUCAGGUCUUUUUCAAGGUA
Long non-coding RNA from Diceros bicornis minor, 1104 nucleotides. RefSeq lists it as uncharacterized. The transcript is spliced from 5 exons. The record is from RefSeq and is a predicted model, not a curated record. NCBI's taxonomy places the organism in Eukaryota, Metazoa, Chordata, Mammalia, Perissodactyla, Rhinocerotidae.